This 273-nucleotide ribosomal RNA is filed under the name uncultured bacterium. RNAcentral describes it as "partial 16S ribosomal RNA". It matches the Rfam family "Bacterial small subunit ribosomal RNA", at positions 524 to 796 of the family's 1533-position model. The record is from RNAcentral.
UACGGAGGGGGUUAGCGUUGUUCGGAAUUACUGGGCGUAAAGCGCACGUAGGCGGAUCAGAAAGUUGGGGGUGAAAUCCCGGGGCUCAACCCCGGAACUGCCUCCAAAACUCCUGGUCUUGAGUUCGAGAGAGGUGAGUGGAAUUCCGAGUGUAGAGGUGAAAUUCGUAGAUAUUCGGAGGAACACCAGUGGCGAAGGCGGCUCACUGGCUCGAUACUGACGCUGAGGUGCGAAAGUGUGGGGAGCAAACAGGAUUAGAUACCCCGGUAGUCC